This 292-nucleotide ribosomal RNA is filed under the name uncultured Acidobacteriota bacterium. RNAcentral describes it as "uncultured Acidobacteria bacterium partial 16S ribosomal RNA". Lineage: Bacteria; Pseudomonadati; Acidobacteriota. The record is from RNAcentral.
GGACUACCGGGGUAUCUAAUCCUGUUUGCUCCCCUAGCUUUCGUUCCUCAGCGUCAGUUACGGUCCAGCCAGCCGCCUUCGCCACGGGUGUUCCUGCAGAUAUCUACGCAUUUCACCGCUACACCUGCAAUUCCACUGGCCUCUCCCGCACUCUAGCGCGGCAGUUUCGGAAGCAGCCUCUGAGUUGAGCCCAGAGAUUUCACUCCCGACUUGCCGCACCGCCUACGAACCCUUUACGCCCAGUAAUUCCGAGCAACGCUGGCCCCCUACGUAUUACCGCGGCUGCUGGCAC